RNAcentral lists this long non-coding RNA (637 nucleotides) under Equus asinus (donkey). RNAcentral's name for it is "lncRNA (ENSEASG00005037386.1)". The record is from RNAcentral. Lineage: Eukaryota; Metazoa; Chordata; Mammalia; Perissodactyla; Equidae.
CUAUUCGUGGAGGAAGUGCGGGGCCAUGUGGAACAGGGCUGGAUUUACUGUCUGGAGUGCACUGGCAGCCCUUAACAGUUUUCACAAAAUGUAAACUAGAAGUAAUAAUCCCUGCUUCCCAAGGAUGACAGAGAAUAGAAAUGAGUUCGGUUCCUUAAAGGCGCUUGCAUUCAGAAGCUGACAUACGCAAAAGAAAGGAAACCGGAAAGGCCCAGAGUGCUGAUGGAGUAAGUGAAGGCAGAGCCUUGAGGAAAUUUUUUUCUCGGCUCUUCAUCAUGAAGACCUCGGGAGAUUUCUGGAGGUAAAACCUGUGGAAAUAUGGAGGCACCUCUAAGACUGUUGUCCCCAGGAGUUUCUCAUUCUCACACUAGAUGACACUCAGCCUCCAUCAGCUCACCAAAAUUACCAUUUAGUUGCUUCUAUCAGUUGUGGCUGCACAGGUUUGUGCUCCAGGACACAAUUGGAAAUAUUGAUUAUAUUACCAAAGCUUUGACUGGAAUGUCAUAUUUGAGAGAAACAUACAGACUAAGAUAUGACAAGACAGUUUUUGAGAAAUAAAGGUUGACUUUAUGGAAUAAAGCCACCUGGAAAUAUUGGCCUGGUACCUUACUUAAAGGGUUGCCAGUAACCUUACCAG